GACGAACGCUGGCGGCGUGGAUUAGGCAUGCAAGUCGGACGGUAGGGCUUUAUCGUAAGAUAGAGUUUGAGAGUGGCGAACGGGUGAGUAACACGUAGGAAUCUACCCUUAAGACGGGGGACAACCCAGGGAAACUUGGGCUAAUACCGGAUGAGAGUGCGAGAGAUUGCAUUUAAAAGGAUGGCGAAAGUUGUCGCUUAGGGAUGAGCCUGCGGUCUAUUAGUUAGUUGGUGAGGUAAGAGCUCACCAAGGCGAUGAUAGAUAGGCGGCCUUAACGGGUGGUCGCCCACACUGGGAUUGAGAUACGGCCCAGACUCCUACGGGAGGCAGCAGUUGGGAAUCUUAGGCAAUGGACGAAAGUCUGACCUAGCGACGCCGCGUGAGGGAAGAAGGCCUUCGGGUUGUAAACCUCUGUCAUGGGGGAAGAAGUAAGUGACGGUACCCAAGAGGAAGCCCCUGCUAACUACGUGCCAGCAGCCGCGGUAAUGAGUACUACA
Molecule: ribosomal RNA, 497 nt
Filed under: uncultured bacterium
Lineage: Bacteria
Description: bacterial SSU rRNA
Rfam family: Bacterial small subunit ribosomal RNA
Source: RNAcentral